GUAAAAGCAAUGAACAGAAGAGACUAAAGUGAAAUGCAUAGAGAACUUAUGGCUGGUGUAAAUAAGUGUGAAGCUUUAGAAAGAUGGUCUGGGAGCUGUUAUCUCUAAUAGGGAUAACCGUAACUCGCGUUAAGAGAUUGAGUGACACGUAAGUGUAAAAAAGGUGGUACCGCGAUAAUUUCGUCCUUUAU
This 191-nucleotide non-coding RNA is filed under the name Catenibacterium sp. RNAcentral's name for it is "T-box sequence". It matches the Rfam family "T-box leader". From Rfam's summary of the family: Uncharged tRNA acts as the effector for transcription antitermination of genes in the T-box leader family. T-boxes are found upstream of many aminoacyl-tRNA synthetase genes and some amino acid biosynthetic genes usually in Gram-positive bacteria. Lineage: Bacteria; Bacillati; Bacillota; Erysipelotrichia; Erysipelotrichales; Coprobacillaceae. The record is from RNAcentral.